Molecule: ribosomal RNA, 440 nt
Filed under: uncultured bacterium
Lineage: Bacteria
Description: partial 16S ribosomal RNA
Rfam family: Bacterial small subunit ribosomal RNA
Source: RNAcentral
CCUACGGGUGGCAGCAGUAGGGAAUAUUGCUCAAUGGGGGAAACCCUGAAGCAGCAACGCCGCGUGGAGGAUGAAGGUUUUCGGAUUGUAAACUCCUUUUGUUAGAGAAGAUAAUGACGUUAUCUAACGAAUAAGCACCGGCUCACUCCGUUCCAGCCGCCGCGGUAAUACGGAGGGUGCCAGCGUUACUCGGAAUCACGGGGCGUUAAGAGCGCGUAUGCGGGAUAGCAAGUCAGAUGUUAAAUCAUAUGGCUUAACCAUAGAACUGCAUUUGAAACUGUUAUUCUAGAGUAUGGGAGAGGUAGGUGGAAUUCGUGGUGUAGGGGUAAAAUCCGUAGAGAUCAAGAGGAAGACUCAUUGCGAAGGCGACCUGCUAGAACAUAACUGACGCUGAUGCGCGAAAGCGUGGGGAGCAAACAGGAUUAGAUACCCCGGUAGUC